UCCGGUUUGACACCGGCAGUCUCCCUAGAGUGCCCGGCAUAACCCGCUGGUAACUAGGGACAAGGGUUGCGCUCGUUGCGGGACUUAACCCAACAUCUCACGACACGAGCUGACGACAGCCAUGCAGCACCUGUGUUCCGGUUCCCUUUCGGGCACAACCUCCUCUCAGAGGCCUUCCGGACAUGUCAAGGGUAGGUAAGGUUUUUCGCGUUGCAUCGAAUUAAU
This 225-nucleotide unclassified non-coding RNA is filed under the name uncultured Gammaproteobacteria bacterium. RNAcentral describes it as "contains 16S-23S intergenic spacer region". Lineage: Bacteria; Pseudomonadati; Pseudomonadota; Gammaproteobacteria. The record is from RNAcentral.